AAAUACAAGAAUGCGGACUUUGUAUCGUGAAAUCAAGAGUCGUCAGUAUUUGUCGUGUUCAACAUUAACGACACACAGUUAUAUCAAGGCUCUAGAAAGCGUGCGGCCUGACAGACCUCACUCAGGGAACACUACUUCCUACUCUCGAGGUCAUUGGCACAUCUCACCAGAAGAAAACACCACACCGCCACCUACUGGACAAAAGAUGGAGUGGAUCUGUGUACCAAACAUUACGGCUGUGAAAGUGAGGAAGAGGAUGGCCUCGAGACAGAGGAAGAUGAGGAGCAGCACCGACGCCCCUGGAGAGAACUCACUGCACUCUGAUCAGAGAAAGAGAAGAAUUAUUAAAUUUUGAACAGAACAACAAAAAUGUCAAAUAAAACACACAAUAAAUUAAUAA
Molecule: long non-coding RNA, 400 nt
Organism: Limanda limanda (common dab)
Lineage: Eukaryota; Metazoa; Chordata; Actinopteri; Pleuronectiformes; Pleuronectidae
Exons: 2
Source: RefSeq, a predicted model, not a curated record